CAGCGGCGGACGGGUGAGUAAUGCCUAGGAAUCUGCCUGGUAGUGGGGGAUAACGUCCGGAAACGGGCGCUAAUACCGCAUACGUCCUGAGGGAGAAAGUGGGGGAUCUUCGGACCUCACGCUAUCAGAUGAGCCUAGGUCGGAUUAGCUAGUUGGUGGGGUAAAGGCCUACCAAGGCGACGAUCCGUAACUGGUCUGAGAGGAUGAUCAGUCACACUGGAACUGAGACACGGUCCAGACUCCUACGGGAGGCAGCAGUGGGGAAUAUUGGACAAUGGGCGAAAGCCUGAUCCGGCCAUGCCGCGUGUGUGAAGAAGGUCUUCGGAUUGUAAAGCACUUUAAGUUGGGAGGAAGGGCAGUAAGUUAAUACCUUGCUGUUUUGACGUUACCAACAGAAUAAGCACCGGCUAACUUCGUGCCAGCAGCCGCGGUAAUACGAAGGGUGCAAGCGUUAAUCGGAAUUACUGGGCGUAAAGCGCGCGUAGGUGGUUCAGCAAGUUGGAUGUGAAAUCCCCGGGCUCAACCUGGGAACUGCAUCCAAAACUACUGAGCUAGAGUACGGUAGAGGGUGGUGGAAUUUCCUGUGUAGCGGUGAAAUGCGUAGAUAUAGGAAGGAACACCAGUGGCGAAGGCGACCACCUGGACUGAUACUGACACUGGGGUGCGAAAGCGUGGGGAGCAAACAGGAUUAGAUACCCUGGUAGUCCACGCCGUAAACGAUGUCGACUAGCCGUUGGGAUCCUUGAGAUCUUAGUGGCGCAGCUAACGCGAUAAGUCGACCGCCUGGGGAGUACGGCCGCAAGGUUAAAACUCAAAUGAAUUGACGGGGGCCCGCACAAGCGGUGGAGCAUGUGGUUUAAUUCAAAGCAACGCGAAGAACCUUACCUGGCCUUGACAUGCUGAGAACUUUCCAGAGAUGGAUUGGUGCCUUCGGGAACUCAGACACAGGUGCUGCAUGGCUGUCGUCAGCUCGUGUCGUGAGAUGUUGGGUUAAGUCCCGUAACGAGCGCAACCCUUGUCCUUAGUUACCAGCACCUCGGGUGGGCACUCUAAGGAGACUGCCGGUGACAAACCGGAGGAAGGUGGGGAUGACGUCAAGUCAUCAUGGCCCUUACGGCCAGGGCUACACACGUGCUACAAUGGUCGGUACAAAGGGUUGCCAAGCCGCGAGGUGGAGCUAAUCCCAUAAAACCGAUCGUAGUCCGGAUCGCAGUCUGCAACUCGACUGCGUGAAGUCGGAAUCGCUAGUAAUCGUGAAUCAGAAUGUCACGGUGAAUACGUUCCCGGGCCUUGUACACACCGCCCGUCACACCAUGGGAGUGGGUUGCUCCAGAAGUAGCUAGUCUAACCGCAAGGGGGACGGUUACCACGGAGUGAUUCAUGACUGGGGUGAAGUCGUAACAAGGU
RNAcentral lists this ribosomal RNA (1407 nucleotides) under uncultured bacterium. RNAcentral describes it as "bacterial SSU rRNA". It matches the Rfam family "Bacterial small subunit ribosomal RNA". The record is from RNAcentral.